RNAcentral lists this ribosomal RNA (119 nucleotides) under Pteropus alecto (black flying fox). Lineage: Eukaryota; Metazoa; Chordata; Mammalia; Chiroptera; Pteropodidae. The record is from RNAcentral.
GUCUAUGGCCACGACACCCUGAAUGUGCCGGAUCUCGUAUGAUCUCGGAAACUAAGCAGGGUCGGGCCUGGUAAGUACUUGGAUGGAAGACCACCUAGGAAGACCAGGUGCUGUAGGUG